AGAAUCAACGCUGGCGGCGUGCCUAACACAUGCAAGUCGAACGAGAAAGUGGGAGCAAUCCCACGAGUAAAGUGGCGCACGGGUGAGUAACACGUGACUAACCUACCCUUGAGUGGGGGAUAACCUAGGGAAACCUGGGCUAAUACCGCAUAAUACCUACGGGUCAAAGGAGCAAUUCGCUUUAGGAGGGGGUCGCGGCAGAUUAGUUAGUUGGCGGGGUAAUGGCCCACCAAGACAGUGAUCUGUAUCCGGCCUGAGAGGGCGCACGGACACACUGGAACUGAAACACGGUCCAGACUCCUACGGGAGGCAGCAGUGGGGAAUUUGCGCAAUGGGGGAAACCCUGACGCAGCAACGCCGCGUGGAGGAUGAAGCCCCUUGGGGGCGUAAACUCCUUUCGAUCGGGAAGAUAAUGACGGUACCGGAAGAAGAACGCCCCGGCUAACUUCGUGCCAGCAGCCGC
Molecule: ribosomal RNA, 463 nt
Filed under: uncultured bacterium
Lineage: Bacteria
Description: SSU rRNA
Rfam family: Bacterial small subunit ribosomal RNA
Source: RNAcentral